Molecule: small RNA, 573 nt
Filed under: Pan troglodytes (chimpanzee)
Lineage: Eukaryota; Metazoa; Chordata; Mammalia; Primates; Hominidae
Description: retained intron
Source: RNAcentral
AUGAUUACGCUCUCACCAGCAGCUACCUGGCAGAUCCGGAUUCUCAGCUCUGCCCUGUGGCCUCUCUCUCCCAACAGCUUACAGGAUGGAAAAGAAUAUUUAUUCCAGGCCAAGGAUGAGGCAGAGAUGAGCUCGUGGCUACGGGUGGUGAAUGCAGCCAUUGCCACAGCGUCUUCUGCCUCUGGAGAGCCUGAAGAGCCGGUGGUGCCCAGCACCACCCGGGGCAUGACCCGGGCCAUGACCAUGCCCCCAGUGUCACCCGUCGGGGCUGAGGGGCCUGUUGUGCUCCGCAGCAAAGAUGGCAGAGAACGAGAGCGAGAAAAACGCUUCAGCUUCUUUAAGAAGAACAAGUAGUUGAGGGCAAGGUCCCAGGCCAACUCGCUCCCUCCGUUCAGGAAACUGCCAGGGACAGUCGACAGGGACCGCCCUCUUGUCAGGACAACUGCCUGCUGCUAGGGUCUGUUGCCAAGGUCAACCCAUCACCAGGAACUGUCACUGGGGACAAGUCCAUGUUCCCAAGGGCAGCCCUUCUCUUCUGCUGUUUAAUUCCAGACUGGUGGUGGGACCCAGGCA